CGACUGGGCACAUGCAGGUCGAGCGGUAACGCGGGAUCAAAACUGGCGACGAGCGGCGAACGGGUGAGUAACGCUUCGGAAUCUACCCUGUAGUGGGGAAUAACCAAUCGAAAGGUUGGCUAAUACCGCAUACGACCCACGGGUGAAGGCGGGGGAUCGCAAGACCUCGCGCUAUUGGAUGAGCCGAAGUCGGAUUAGCUGGUUGGCGGGGUAACGGCCCACCAAGGCGAUGAUCCGUAGCUGGUCUGAGAGGUGUGGCCAGCCACACUGGGACUGAGACACGGCCCAGACUCCUACGGGAGGCAGCAGUGGGGAAUAUUGGACAAUGGGGGCAACCCUGAUCCANCAAUGCCGCGUGAGUGAUGAAGGCCUUAGGGUUGUAAAGCUCUUUCGGCGGGGACGAUGAUGACGGUACCCGCAGAAGAAGCCCGGGCUAACUUCGUG
Molecule: ribosomal RNA, 444 nt
Filed under: uncultured bacterium
Lineage: Bacteria
Description: bacterial SSU rRNA
Rfam family: Bacterial small subunit ribosomal RNA
Source: RNAcentral